CCUGGCUCAGGAUGAACGCUAGCGGCAGGCUUAACACAUGCAAGUCGAGGGGCAUCGGGAGUAGCAAUACUUGCCGGCGACCGGCGCAAGGGUGCGUAACGCGUGAGCAACAUGCCCGUAUCAGGGGGAUAAUCCAUGGAAACGUGGUCUAAUACCCCAUAGUAAUUAUGUAAGGCAUCUUAUAUAAUUUAAAGCUUUGGUGGAUACGGAUUGGCUCGCGUGACAUUAGCUGGAUGGUAAGGUAACGGCUUACCAUGGCUACGAUGUCUAGGGGUUCUGAGAGGAAGGUCCCCCCACACUGGAACUGAGACACGGUCCAGACUCCUACGGGAGGCAGCAGUGAGGAAUAUUGGACAAUGGAUGGAAAUCUGAUCCAGCCAUGCCGCGUGCAGGGAAAGACGGCCCUAUGGGUUGUAAACUGCUUUUGUAUGGGAGCAAUAAGGGCUACGUGUAGUCCGAUGAGAGUACCAUACGAAUAAGCACCGGCUAACUCCGUGCCAGCCGCUGC
Molecule: ribosomal RNA, 508 nt
Filed under: uncultured bacterium
Lineage: Bacteria
Description: bacterial SSU rRNA
Rfam family: Bacterial small subunit ribosomal RNA
Source: RNAcentral